Molecule: long non-coding RNA, 565 nt
Filed under: Drosophila guanche
Lineage: Eukaryota; Metazoa; Arthropoda; Insecta; Diptera; Drosophilidae
Source: RNAcentral
CGGAUGAGUGUUUUAUUGGUGGCGGGAUGUGUACGUGCUGAUCAGACAAACAUGCACAUUCAUAUGUACGUGUUGGAUGCCGAUAUUAUGGCUGUGUAGCGGAUAACUGACACGGAAAUUGAUAGCGAGAUCGGACAAUAUGUACAUAAGAUUAUAUGUAAAUAUGGAUAAGUGGUCACUCGGACUUAAAGGAACGCCAAUCGCGGAAGGAUUCGAUUAGCGGGAAACUAUGAGCUUUCUUAUCUGCAGUUUUCCCUGGAAUCCACCGAUGCUUGCUGGGACAAUCUCGAUUCAGCAAGAAUCCGGCUCGAAGGACCAAUGUUCGUAGUAGGUCGACUUCCUGUCGCUGCAGAUAAACUCCUCGGAAAGUCCAAGUGUCCCGAAAUGAAGAGGCACAGUUUAUUCGAUAUUAUGUAUGUACAGGCGGUUUAUUAAGCACUCGAACGGCGCGGGUGUAAAAUUGUUGGUAUGAAAUCGGAAGUGUGUAUGUAGAGUAUAACUUAGUAUGUCGACUCGCUUCUACCGGAAUGUACGGGGGUGAGUAGUGUAGUGCGCUUGUUCAUAG